AAUAAGGUAAAAAGAAGCCAUACGUUUUAUUACUUGGGGCGGUAGAGUUGAUACAGUACAUGAUUUUCAAUUGAUUUUAAUACAUGAUAGGGAUACUUCCACGUCCCCAGUUUUCUCCUAUAAAAAUCCUCUGCAGAUGCUCGAAGUUUGACACCAAACUUUCUUGACUAAAUUCUCUACAGCCUCAAUACAAUUUCAAUUACAUCUGCAAAUCCUCUUUUGCCAUCAAUAACAGCUCAGAAUCCCAGCUUUUUACCACGAGCAUCAGGCGGUAGUUCAUAGCUCAAAAUCUCAGCCCUGCAAAAUUUACUUCAUAACAAAAUCUAUCACCAAAUUGCUCCAGUUCAGCUUACACUAAAAUUUUUAAUUACAAUACAACUUUCCACUGCAGAUUUACCUCAUAACACAAUACAGUAGAACUCUUCAUCAAGGUUCGCCCCAGUACACUUCUUCUCAACAAACACUCAUGUUCAUACACCACAGCAUAAAAGCAUAAUCAUUCUUUGCGGCGCCGCCAUCUAGCGGCGGCAGAAGGCGAGGGAGAGAAAGGGUGCGUCUGAUGUGGUGUGUGUGAGAUGGGAGUGUGUAUUCUGGGUGCUGGUGCGUGUGUGGUGUGUGUGUCUGCGUGAGUGGUGUGUUAAAGGGUGGAGGAAGAGAAGUUGGGCCGGAGGCGUGGGCUUGUUUACAUUCAUUAGUGGAGUUAUUAAUUAAAGAGUUGGGCUGCAUUUUUUUGUUAAGAUUAUUUAGUCGAGUCCUGAAUCAGUUGAUUAAUUUGAAUAAUGAUUUAAUGGUCUGAUUAGUUAGACUUUAUAAUUUGAGUUUGAUUGAUUAUUUUUACGUGUGUAAUUAUUUACUUUAUGUGACUUUUGAUAUAAAUUUUGCAUGGUAAAUAAUGUAACAAAAGAAUUUUGAUAAAUUCGUUUUUUUUUUUUUUUUUUUUUAAGAUAUCCAAUUGAGUUUUGAAAAUUCGGGCGCAGAAUAUUAAGAUUUAGCAGCUUUUGUAGAAUCGUUAGCUCAUGCGAUAUUUUGAGACCUAUUAAGAUUAGAUUAUCUUGUAGGUCCACUUGAAAGAAGGAAUUAGCAUUGCUUUUACAAGAAGAGAAUUGUACAUCUUUUAUCUACAGGCUUGUUAUCAAGGUUGAGCGGCGGAUGGUGUCGUGUGAAGCUGAGGGAGGGUGUUGCUGUAUUUCCAAAUGAAUGUCAAGAAUAAAUUCCGCUACCAUAAUAUUCACUAAGGUGGAUAUUAUUUAAGAUUGACUAUUUUAAUAUUCAUAGCCUAUUUUAUCUGAACUCCAGUUUUCAUCGAUUUCCUAGCAAUUAUUCCUCACAUAUAAUAUUCGCUUAGUAUUAAAUGUUAUCUUAUUGUCUCAGGCCUCCGAACUUCUGAUCUUGAUUGAGAGAAUUUCUAUCUUAAUUGUCGUAUUUAUUAUCCUUCAAUUGCGACAUUCCUUUAUUA
Long non-coding RNA from Salvia miltiorrhiza (redroot sage), 1456 nucleotides. RefSeq lists it as uncharacterized. The transcript has 2 exons. The record is from RefSeq and is a predicted model, not a curated record. Lineage: Eukaryota; Viridiplantae; Streptophyta; Magnoliopsida; Lamiales; Lamiaceae.